This is an unclassified non-coding RNA of Cavia aperea (Brazilian guinea pig), 304 nucleotides long. Its record names the gene 7SK. It matches the Rfam family "7SK RNA". From Rfam's summary of the family: 7SK was discovered as an abundant small nuclear RNA in the mid-70s but a possible function has only recently been suggested. The record is from Ensembl. Lineage: Eukaryota; Metazoa; Chordata; Mammalia; Rodentia; Caviidae.
GGAUGUAAGGGCAAUCUGGUUGUAGUAUCUGUUACUUCCUUGAUCACCAGGUUGAUCUGUGUGGCUGCGUGGAUAUCCCCUUCGUCACUGCUUCACGUGUGUCCCUUCAAAACCGUGUGCUUGGUUGAAGAGGGCAACCUCUCCCAAUAAGAGGAGGACCUCUUCCUCAGUCCGAGAUGUAAAGUAGCUGUGCUUCCCAGAUAGAACCUUGAAACAAGCUCCCAAAGGUUGCUUGGGUUUUACAUACUUGUCAGCUUUCCCUCUUUCUCAUUAGGCUAGAAAAGAAGGUAACAUUUCAUUGUCU